GUCUCUGUGGUGAAACCGAUUAGCGCGUUCGGCUGUUAACUGAAAGGUUGGUGGUUCAAGCCCACCCAGGAAUG
This 74-nucleotide transfer RNA is filed under the name Danio rerio (zebrafish). It matches the Rfam family "tRNA". From Rfam's summary of the family: Transfer RNA (tRNA) molecules are approximately 80 nucleotides in length. Their secondary structure includes four short double-helical elements and three loops (D, anti-codon, and T loops). Further hydrogen bonds mediate the characteristic L-shaped molecular structure. tRNAs have two regions of fundamental functional importance: the anti-codon, which is responsible for specific mRNA codon recognition, and the 3' end, to which the tRNAs corresponding amino acid is attached (by aminoacyl-tRNA synthetases). tRNAs cope with the degeneracy of the genetic code in two manners: having more than one tRNA (with a specific anti-codon) for a particular amino acid; and 'wobble' base-pairing, i.e. permitting non-standard base-pairing at the 3rd anti-codon position. Lineage: Eukaryota; Metazoa; Chordata; Actinopteri; Cypriniformes; Danionidae. The record is from Rfam by way of RNAcentral.